Molecule: ribosomal RNA, 437 nt
Filed under: uncultured bacterium
Lineage: Bacteria
Description: partial 16S ribosomal RNA
Rfam family: Bacterial small subunit ribosomal RNA
Source: RNAcentral
GAUGAACGCUGGCGGCAUGCCUAACACAUGCAAGUCGGACGGGCAGUCGUGUUUCUAGUGGCGGACGGGUGAGUAACGCGCAAGAACCUGCCCCUGGGAGGGGAACAAUAGCUGGAAACGGUUGCUAAUACCACGCAGGCCGAGGAGCAAAAGGAGGAAUCCGCCCGAGGGGGGGAUUGCGUCUGAUUAGCUAGCUGGUGAAGCAAUAGCUUACCAAGGCGAUGGUCAGUAGCUGGUCCGAGAGGAUGAUCGGCCACACUGGGACGGAGACACGGACCAGGGACCUACGGGAGGCAGCAGUGAGGAAGUUUCCGCAAUGCGCGAAGGCCGAACGGGGCAAUGGGGCGGGGAAGUAGAGGGCCCACGGAUCGAGAACUGCUUUUCCCAGAGAAGAAGCAAUGACGGUAUCUGAGGAGUAAGCAACGGCUAACUCUGUG